Molecule: transfer RNA, 69 nt
Filed under: Pelophylax cypriensis
Lineage: Eukaryota; Metazoa; Chordata; Amphibia; Anura; Ranidae
Description: tRNA-His
Rfam family: tRNA
About the family: Transfer RNA (tRNA) molecules are approximately 80 nucleotides in length. Their secondary structure includes four short double-helical elements and three loops (D, anti-codon, and T loops). Further hydrogen bonds mediate the characteristic L-shaped molecular structure. tRNAs have two regions of fundamental functional importance: the anti-codon, which is responsible for specific mRNA codon recognition, and the 3' end, to which the tRNAs corresponding amino acid is attached (by aminoacyl-tRNA synthetases). tRNAs cope with the degeneracy of the genetic code in two manners: having more than one tRNA (with a specific anti-codon) for a particular amino acid; and 'wobble' base-pairing, i.e. permitting non-standard base-pairing at the 3rd anti-codon position.
Source: RNAcentral
GUGGAUAUAGUUUAAGAAAAACCCUAGAUUGUGAUUCUAGAAAUGGGGGUUAAACCCCUCCUGUCCACC